UCCAAUCUACCUUGUUGCAUGGAAGAGAAAAAAUAAGAGUUCACCAGCCCUCUGAGAACUGUAUUUAACUCAGCCUCAGCCAUCAUAAAAGAGCUCAGAUGUUGUGGUGGAAAGAGUACCAGAUUCAGAAUCAUCCUUAACAGAAAUCGAUACCUGGGUCACUAUAAAGGAGACUUGCUUUCAACACUGGUCAUCUCACCAGGGAGGUAAGUCUGUAAAAAUUUUUUUAAUUCCCUGAAGCCAAU
Molecule: long non-coding RNA, 245 nt
Organism: Lutra lutra (Eurasian river otter)
Lineage: Eukaryota; Metazoa; Chordata; Mammalia; Carnivora; Mustelidae
Exons: 3
Source: RefSeq, a predicted model, not a curated record